Molecule: transfer RNA, 73 nt
Filed under: Herpetosiphon geysericola
Lineage: Bacteria; Bacillati; Chloroflexota; Chloroflexia; Herpetosiphonales; Herpetosiphonaceae
Rfam family: tRNA
About the family: Transfer RNA (tRNA) molecules are approximately 80 nucleotides in length.
Source: Rfam by way of RNAcentral
GCCGAUGUAGCUCAGUUGGCAGAGCAACUGUUUCGUAAAUAGUAGGUCACGAGUUCAAGUCUCGUCAUCGGCU